Schizosaccharomyces pombe (fission yeast) is the source of this 659-nucleotide non-coding RNA. The record is from the annotation of a GenBank genome assembly. NCBI's taxonomy places the organism in Eukaryota, Fungi, Ascomycota, Schizosaccharomycetes, Schizosaccharomycetales, Schizosaccharomycetaceae.
ACCUUUUCCUUCUUUGAUUAAGGAUGCAACUUUCUCUAAAUGCUUGGAAGAGUCGACGUGUUUAACAGUGUUUUUCACCAUUGUCGAAUUUCUGAGAACAACCAAAGCAAGCCAAUAAUCGAUUUACCUUAAAAAUCCCAACUCAAACUCUUUCAAAAAUUGGAUCACUUAAAAUUCUCAGAUAUGAACAAAUCAAUAUGUUAAUGCACAAAGUUUGUGGGUACGCCAAAUUUCCAUUAUUAUUUACUCGUUGAAAAUAUCAAACGCCAUUACCGAUGCUCCAUUAAACUGCAUUAUACUGUUUAAAAGGCUAUUGUAUUCGACUUUAGUACUCGUUAUUUGGUAAACAUUUAGAGCCAUCUUUUUCAAUUAAGAGUUUCUGGAUGUCGUUGAAAAAAUGAGAUACGGGGUAAUCAGAAAUUAUGAUUAAUCAACUUUCGGCUCACUUGAUUAGAUUCAGCAACGAUAACUCUUGACUUUCUGGUUUUACUUAUUGGGUUGGUCACACCAGUUUGACAUAUUAGGUGUCAAAGUUUUUUAUAAGUUUAUCAUUAGUUAACUAUUUUUUAUCUUUAUAAUCAGUGUCAUGUACGACUAUAAAUGUACGAUUAAAGAAUCAUCGUCGGGAAAGAAAUAAUGAAUUUGAGAGAACAAUCCAA